RNAcentral lists this ribosomal RNA (486 nucleotides) under Halobacillus sp. RNAcentral describes it as "bacterial SSU rRNA". It matches the Rfam family "Bacterial small subunit ribosomal RNA", at positions 57 to 526 of the family's 1533-position model. Lineage: Bacteria; Bacillati; Bacillota; Bacilli; Caryophanales; Bacillaceae. The record is from RNAcentral.
GCGAGCUGAUCCCCUUCGGGGGUGACGCUCGUGGAACGAGCGGCGGACGGGUGAGUAACACGUGGGUAACCUGCCUGUAAGAUCGGAAUAACUCCGGGAAACCGGAGCUAAUGCCGGGUAAUACUUUCUUUCGCAUGAAGGAAAGUUGAAAGAUGGCUUCUUGCUAUCACUUACAGAUGGACCCGCGGCGCAUUAGCUAGUUGGUGAGGUAACGGCUCACCAAGGCGACGAUGCGUAGCCGACCUGAGAGGGUGAUCGGCCACACUGGGACUGAGACACGGCCCAGACUCCUACGGGAGGCAGCAGUAGGGAAUCUUCCGCAAUGGACGAAAGUCUGACGGAGCAACGCCGCGUGAACGAUGAAGGUCUUCGGAUCGUAAAGUUCUGUUGUUAGGGAAGAACAAGUACCGUUCGAAUAGGGCGGUACCUUGACGGUACCUAACGAGGAAGCCCCGGCUAACUACGUGCCAGCAGCCGCGGUAAUAC